This 467-nucleotide ribosomal RNA is filed under the name uncultured bacterium. Its description in RNAcentral is "partial 16S ribosomal RNA". It matches the Rfam family "Bacterial small subunit ribosomal RNA", at positions 28 to 507 of the family's 1533-position model. The record is from RNAcentral.
GACGAACGCUGGCGGCGUGCUUAACACAUGCAAGUCGAACGAUGACGACCGAGCUUGCUCGGUCUGAUUAGUGGCGAACGGGUGAGUAACACGUGAGCAACCUGCCCUUCACUCUGGGAUAACCUCGGGAAAUCGGGGCUAAUACCGGAUAUGAGCUCCUGUCGCAUGGCGGGUGUUGGAAAGUUUUUCGGUGAAGGAUGGGCUCGCGGCCUAUCAGUUUGUUGGUGAGGUAGUGGCUCACCAAGGCGAUGACGGGUAGCCGGCCUGAGAGGGCGACCGGCCACGCUGGGACUGAGACACGGCCCAGACUCCUACGGGAGGCAGCAGUGGGGAAUAUUGCACAAUGGGCGAAAGCCUGAUGCAGCGACGCCGCGUGAGGGAUGACGGCCUUCGGGUUGUAAACCUCUUUCAGCAGGGAAGAAGCGAAAGUGACGGUACCUGCAUAAGAAGCGCCGGCUAACUACGUG